UACGUAGGGGCUAGCGUUAUCCGGAAUUACUGGGCGUAAAGGGUGCGUAGGUGGUUUCUUAAGUCAGAGGUGAAAGGCUACGGCUCAACCGUAGUAAGCCUUUGAAACUGGGAAACUUGAGUGCAGGAGAGGAGAGUGGAAUUCCUAGUGUAGCGGUGAAAUGCGUAGAUAUUAGGAGGGACACCAGUUGCGAAGGCGGCUCUCUGGACUGUAACUGACACUGAGGCACGAAAGCGUGGGGAGCAAACAGGAUUAGAUACCCUGGUAGUCCCUGAG
Molecule: ribosomal RNA, 276 nt
Filed under: uncultured prokaryote
Description: partial 16S ribosomal RNA
Rfam family: Bacterial small subunit ribosomal RNA
Source: RNAcentral